Molecule: transfer RNA, 74 nt
Filed under: Chloroflexota bacterium
Lineage: Bacteria; Bacillati; Chloroflexota
Also listed under: 2 other names
Description: Chloroflexi bacterium (marine sediment metagenome) tRNA-Val
Rfam family: tRNA
About the family: Transfer RNA (tRNA) molecules are approximately 80 nucleotides in length. Their secondary structure includes four short double-helical elements and three loops (D, anti-codon, and T loops).
Source: RNAcentral
GGGCGAGUAGCUCAGUUGGUUAGAGCGUACGGUUCACAUCCGUAAGGUCACAGGUUCGAGUCCUGUCUCGCCCA